GAUGAACGCUGGCGGUAUGCUUAACACAUGCAAGUCGAACGGACUCUUCGGAGUUAGUGGCGGACGGGUGAGUAACGCGUGAGAAUCUGGCUUUGGGUUCGGGACAACCACUGGAAACGGUGGCUAAUACCGGAUGUGCCGAGAGGUAAAAGAGAAAUUGCCUGAAGAUGAGCUCGCGUCUGAUUAGCUAGUUGGUGAGGUAAAGGCUCACCAAGGCAGCGAUCAGUAGCUGGUCUGAGAGGAUGACCAGCCACACUGGGACUGAGACACGGCCCAGACUCCUACGGGAGGCAGCAGGGGGGAAUUGUCCGCAAUGGGCGAAAGCCUGACGGAGCAAUACCGCGUGAGGGAAGAAGGCUCUUGGGUUGUAAACCUCUUUUCUUAGGGAAGAACAAAAUGACGGUACCUAAGGAAUCAGCAUCGGCUAACUCCGUG
This 435-nucleotide ribosomal RNA is filed under the name uncultured bacterium. Its description in RNAcentral is "partial 16S ribosomal RNA". It matches the Rfam family "Bacterial small subunit ribosomal RNA", at positions 28 to 507 of the family's 1533-position model. The record is from RNAcentral.